RNAcentral lists this ribosomal RNA (445 nucleotides) under uncultured bacterium. RNAcentral describes it as "bacterial SSU rRNA". It matches the Rfam family "Bacterial small subunit ribosomal RNA", at positions 88 to 514 of the family's 1533-position model. The record is from RNAcentral.
GAGUAGAGUGGCGCACGGGUGAGUAACACGUAGGUAAUUUGCCUUUGGGUGGGGAAUAACUCAGGGAAACUUGAGCUAAUACCGCAUAAUGCAGCGGCUCGACAUCGAGACAGUUGUUAAAGCGGGGGAUCGCAAGACCUCGCGCCUGAAGAGAAGCCUGCGGCAGAUUAGCUAGUUGGUAGGGUAAUGGCCUACCAAGGCGACGAUCUGUAACCGGCCUGAGAGGGCGGUCGGUCACACUGACACUGACAUACGGGUCAGACUCCUACGGGAGGCAGCAGUCGGGAAUUUUGGGCAAUGGGCGAAAGCCUGACCCAGCAACGCCGCGUGAAGGAUGAAAUUUUUCGGAAUGUAAACUUCGCAAGAACGGGAAGAAUAAGUAGAAGCUAAUACCUUCUAUGAUGACGGUACCGUUUGUAAGCUCCGGCUAACUCCGUGCCAGCAC